GGGGUUGUGGCUCAGUGGUAGAGCGCUUGCCUAGCACAUGCAAGGCCCUGGGUUCGAUCCUCAACACCA
Molecule: transfer RNA, 69 nt
Filed under: Ictidomys tridecemlineatus (thirteen-lined ground squirrel)
Lineage: Eukaryota; Metazoa; Chordata; Mammalia; Rodentia; Sciuridae
Description: Spermophilus tridecemlineatus (thirteen-lined ground squirrel) tRNA
Rfam family: tRNA
About the family: Transfer RNA (tRNA) molecules are approximately 80 nucleotides in length. Their secondary structure includes four short double-helical elements and three loops (D, anti-codon, and T loops).
Source: Rfam by way of RNAcentral